GACGAACGCUGGCGGCGUGCUUAACACAUGCAAGUCGAACGGAAAGGCCCUGCUUUUGUGGGGUGCUCGAUUGGCGAACGGGUGAGUAACACGUGAGUAACCUGCCCUUGACUUUGGGAUAACUUCAGGAAACUGGGGCUAAUACCGGAUAGGAGCUCCUGCUGCAUGGUGGUGGUUGGAGAGUGUCGGCGGCGGUGGAUGGAUUGGAGGCUUAUGCGCUUGUUUGGCGGGUAGGUGAUUACCAAGGGUUUGACGGGUAGGCGGCAUGGGAGGGUGAACGGCCACCUGAGGCCUACGAGACGGAGCAGACGGCUAUGGGCGGCAGCAGUGGGGAACAUGGCACAACGGGGGGGCGCCUGUUGCAGCAACGCCGGGUGCGGAAUGACGGGUUUCGGGUUGUAAACAGAUUUGGACGGAGAUGAAGAGUGAGUGACGGUACUGGGUCAAGAAGCCACGGCUAACUACGUG
This 468-nucleotide ribosomal RNA is filed under the name uncultured bacterium. RNAcentral describes it as "partial 16S ribosomal RNA". It matches the Rfam family "Bacterial small subunit ribosomal RNA", at positions 28 to 507 of the family's 1533-position model. The record is from RNAcentral.